RNAcentral lists this ribosomal RNA (440 nucleotides) under uncultured bacterium. RNAcentral describes it as "bacterial SSU rRNA". It matches the Rfam family "Bacterial small subunit ribosomal RNA", at positions 338 to 795 of the family's 1533-position model. The record is from RNAcentral.
CCUACGGGAUGCACCAGUGGGGAAUAUUGGACAAUGGGCGAAAGCCUGAUCCAGCAAUGCCGCGUGUGUGAAGAAGGCCUUCGGAUUGUAAAGCACUUUCGACGGGGACGAUGAUGACGGUACCCGUAGAAGAAGCCCCGGCUAACUACGUGCCAGCAGCCGCGGUAAUACGAAGGGGGCUAGCGUUGCUCGGAAUGACUGGGCGUAAAGGGCGCGUAGGCGGUUUAUGCAGUCAGAUGUGAAAUCCCCGGGCUUAGCCUGGGAGGUGCAUUUGAGACGCAUAGGCUAGAGGUCGAGAGAGGGUUGUGGAAUUCCCAGUGUAGAGGUGGAAUUCGUAGAUAUUGGGAAGAACACCGGUGGCGAAGGCGGCAACCUGGCUCGAUACUGACGCUGAGGCGCGAAAGCGUGGGGAGCAAACAGGAUUAGAUACCCGUGUAGUC